This 2536-nucleotide long non-coding RNA is filed under the name Homo sapiens (human). Its description in RNAcentral is "HSALNT0188499". Lineage: Eukaryota; Metazoa; Chordata; Mammalia; Primates; Hominidae. The record is from RNAcentral.
CGUUGGCGCUGCAACCAUCUUGACUUGGAAUCAACCACCCUAUAGGCCACGCUGUAGCCUUAGAUACUCUAACUCGUGAAAUUUUCAUCGACCGUCGUCCAUAGGGCAAGGCACGCUUCUGCCCUCUGUGGGACAGAGUUGUCGAUGAUUAUAGUUGCGUCAUUGCUCCCACCCGAUAUCACCUUGGCAGCGACCGCGGCUGACCACGUUCCCGGCCUGUCGCGAAUCUCACCCAAGGGAGCUGAGUCUCAGCUUCCCUGGUCCCUGGUCCCGAGUUCCGCCUUCCCCCCCCGCCCCGUGGCAUCGGCGUGAGGGGAAAAGAUAAAGACUACCUCCUGAGACCUGGAAUUGUGGAUGGCUGCGGAAAACUCACCACAGGAAAUUUUGGCUUAAAGUUAUUCUCUGCUUCCCUUGACUGUGUGAUAGGCACCGCUCUAUCUGCUAGAGGACAGGUGAAAAAGAUGGGGUUCCCUCUUCUUAGAACUCACUGUGCAGUGGGAGAAUGUAUAAAUAAAUAGUAAUUACAACAUAAUCUUCUGGAAUAGAAAUGCUCACAAAAUCAUCCAGCAGUCGAUGACCUCCUUUAGCCAGGGAAGAUAUUGCUAUUCGCCUCUUACAGAGGAGGAAACCAUGGCUCAGAGGGACAAGGUGAAAGGGUGGGAAAUUGAGGCAUAGAAAGUUUAAGUGAUAUGCCCAACAUGACUCAGCUAAUCAAUGAAGGACUAGUGCUAGAGCCCAGCAAAUCUGCUGGUGCAAUGGUCUCUGAACCAUUUCUGAGACAGCUAUGCUGGACUACAUCAUAACCAGCCCCUCACAACUCAAUAAUAGGGUUAAAAGAAAUAGACUGAGAUUAAAUAGAAGGAAGAACCUUCCAACAGUGAAGUUUGUUAAGCACUGCAACAGUUCAUUAUGGAGGUAUCAUGGCAACUUUCUGGGAAGACUUAAACAAAAGACAGAAGAGAGGCAUAGCGUUUGAUUGAACUUGGGAAUGGACCAUUUAUUCUGAGAAACAGAUGAAGUGCCCCUUUAGAGGUCCUGCCAGUCUGAUGGAUGGAUUCUCUACCUGUAAUGAAAGUAAUAGGAAGGAUCCCCUUGCCCAAAGCAUCGUGGGAAAGCUAGCGGUGAUUCUUGUGGGAAGAAAAGCAUAAGAGGAAAUUUCCAACCACCAAUACCUUGGGACAUUCUCUGCAAGUCCCAUGAGCCUCUGAAAGAGGUUGAACACUCAGAAGUCACUUUUGUGGUGCUUGACUGGCCUGACAUCUUGCAAAUAAACCUUAUCAAAAGAUGGUGGAAGAUGCGUACUAAGUAUUCCGUAGUAACUGAGAGUUAGUCUUUUUUCACAGCCUUUGUUGGAGGAGAGGUACUUGUAAUUCACAUGUGUAAACUGCUUUAUAAUUUAAAAAUUCUUUGGAAUAUCUUACUUGAUCUUUAUCAUAGCCUUUUCAGACAUGAAGAGUAAAAAAUACCGUUCCAUUGUACAACUGAUGUGCAGAGUUGUCAAGGUUUCUACAGCUGAGGAGUGUCAGAGCUACUGGACCCAGAUCUUCUCUCUGCACAUCCCACUGUUUCAUGCUGCCUCUAAAAAACAAAAAAAAAAUUUCCAUGCAUGCACUUUUCACAGAGUUGAAGAACUCAGAGGUUCUGCGUUUGGCAGAUGGGCAAGAUUAUAGAUGUCAUCACGGUCCCCAGCACAUGCCGUCAUCAGCCCCGUCACCUUGUCUGUAACCAUGUUCUUCCCAUAUUCCCCCAAUACCUGAACUGUUCUCUCUCAUCCACCUCUCCAGACCCUCUCCUCUUUCAGGUCCUGCCUAUUCCAUCAGGCUUUUCCAACAUCUCCAGGAAAGGAACUGUCAAUUCUCUGGUCUUUGUAGCGCAUGCAUUUUCUAUAUUGCAUGGUUUGGCACCUGCUAAUGAACCAUCUUGUAUUUACAUUGAACAAAGAUAGAUUUUUUUUUGCCUGUUUUAUUCUUAGAAGGAAGGUUAUUUUGUGAAAGUAGAAAAGCAACAUCAUAUGAGAUUCACUUCUCCUGUGUUCUGUUGUAAUCCCUAAUUGUCUCUGGACCCUACUUCUCCCUAGCCAGGUACACAACUGGAAAGGGAGGUUGCUGUCCCACACCGUGUUCUCUUGAUGCCUCGAUGACAAGCACCAUUCCUGCACUACAGAGUUAAUAGUUUUAAAUUCCCCUAUCUUGACUUCUCCAUAAACCAGGUACCAGAACCUCUGCAGAAGACAUUAAUUUUUCUUUUCCCUGAAGUUAACAUUUCUCAUAUUCUCACUUAUCCCUGGGAUGGGUAGUGGUCUUUAUUGGGAUGUACAGAUUGUUUUUUGUCAGUACUCAUCUCUGCCAAAUUACAUCAGGGAAUAUCUCGUAAGCACUUGCUUGGUUAAUAUUAGCCAAGUCUGGUGGUGUGCUAGAUACUCUGCUAUAGUGCUAUAGACUCAAAAAUCUAUAUAGAAACAAAAGAGCCCUUCCCGGUGCAUCUGACUUUGAUGGAAAGAUUCCAGAGGUACUAGGCUGAGGAUUUCGUUUCAUUC